Oncorhynchus tshawytscha (Chinook salmon) is the source of this 1419-nucleotide long non-coding RNA. The record is from Ensembl. NCBI's taxonomy places the organism in Eukaryota, Metazoa, Chordata, Actinopteri, Salmoniformes, Salmonidae.
GGGGUUCUUCUGGACGUUAUACAACGUUUUACAGGGGUUCUUCUGGACGUUAUACAACGUUUUACAGGGGUUCUUCUGGACGUUAUACAACGUUUUACAGGGGUUCUUCUGGACGUUAUACAACGUUUUACAGGGGUUCUUCUGGACGUUAUACAACGUUUUACAGGGGUUCUUCUGGACGUUAUACAACGUUUUACAGUGGUUAUUCUGGAUGUUAUACAACGUUUUACACUGUAAAAGGUGGUGGAGUGGGGAACCACUGACAUUGAACUACAGGUAUAGUGAACCUGUCCAUUUAACUUAGUUGUAAUUGUGUUGUAUGUGCAAUACCUGAAUUAUAGGUUUGUGUUUUUCCAUGUUAAAUCAUUACAGCCAAUGACCCUCUAAAAUGUCUCUGAUUCACUUUCAUCAGUUCUUUGUAUGAAUGACAUCCCAUGUAAAACUCAAACCUCAACUCGCAAUAUGUCACCUAAGAACACAUUGUAUCUUCACGUGACAUGAAUCAUUCAAAUGUAUAUUUUCAUACUUUUAAUUCAGGCAAAUCAGAGUAAUCAUGGUACUGUCAAGUGAAAAAGCUAGAGUCAACAUCAUCAGUGAAAAUGGACCAGUGCCAUAGGUUCAACAGCAGAGGAACCUGUGCACAUGCAUGUGGACAUUUCUCUACAUUCUGUAACUACCUGGCCUCACUACCCACUCGUGUACCCAACUUACUUUAGACUGAAUUCUCACAAGGUGUCUCUCUUUUCUUUCAGUUUAAAAUUAUACUAUUUAUCAUUUUUCUUACAGCCAAAAUAAAGUAUUUACUACAGAAGUCAGGAAUGGUGUGUGUGUGUGUGUGUGAUUAUCAUAAAACUGUUUAUCAUCACAGAAAGCAAUUGGAUAUUUUCAAAUUCAUUGAGAGAGAGAGAGCGAGAGAGGAGGGAGAGAGAGAGAGAGAGAGAGGAGGGAGAGGGAGAGAGGAGAGAGAGAGCGAGAGAGAAGGGAGAGAGAGAUAGAGAGAAUAGAAUGAAUAGAGAUUAUUAGACUGUUGUUUGCAUCUUGCCAAUAAUCAGGUGAACUGGCAGAGAAACAGACACCGCCCAUUGACUGUUUUUCCCUGAGAUAUGUAUGUGCUAAAAUAUAAACAUUGUUGUAGAUAUUAUACAAAAUAGGAUCAUUGUUAUUAUUGUACAAUCUGUGAUUUAAAAAAUGUUCAUGCAUUGGUCCGCAAACCCCCAAAAAGGUUGUGAAAUAACUUUUUUUGUGUACCUCCUAUGUAAGAUACAUUUAUGUACAACAGGAAACAGGAAACAAGAGGCAUUGAAGACUUCAAAGUUGCUUUCUAACUGUGGUAUUACGGUUUAAUUUGUAGGAUAUACUCCAAUCUGUUCUGUAUGAUCUAUGGUCUCUUUCUUUAGAGAGUUUUUGCAGGUUUAUGGA